UCGGGAAUUUUGGGCAAUGGGCGAAAGCCUGACCCAGCAACGCCGCGUGAAGGAUGAAGUAUUUCGGUAUGUAAACUUCGAAAGAAUAGGAAGAAUAAAUGACGGUACUAUUUAUAAGGUCCGGCUAACUACGUGCCAGCAGCCGCGGUAAUACGUAGGGACCAAGCGUUGUUCGGAUUUACUGGGCGUAAAGGGCGCGUAGGCGGUGUGUCAAGUCAGUUGUGAAAUCUCCGAGCUUAACUCGGAACGGUCAACUGAUACUGUCACACUAGAGUACAGAAGGGGCAAUCGGAAUUCUUGGUGUAGCGGUGAAAUGCGUAGAUAUCAAGAGGAACACCUGAGGUGAAGACGGGUUGCUGGGCUGACACUGACGCUGAGGCGCGAAAGCCAGGGGAGCAAACGGGAUUAGAUACCCCAGUAGUCCCUGAGCGGGCUGGCAAGGCGCAU
Molecule: ribosomal RNA, 447 nt
Filed under: uncultured bacterium
Lineage: Bacteria
Description: bacterial SSU rRNA
Rfam family: Bacterial small subunit ribosomal RNA
Source: RNAcentral